AGCCUUAAGUUGCAUCUAAGGUAAGCCCUGCCCAGUGAAAAUUAAGCUUUUUCAACGGCCGCAGUACUUUGACUGUGCUAAGGUAGCAAAAUCAGUUGGCUUUUAAAUGGAGUCUAGUAUGAACGGGUUGACUGGAAAAACGCUGUCUCCUUCUUAUUUAAUUGAACUUUCUUAGUGGGUGAAAAUUCCCCUGAAAAGAAAAAAGACGAGAAGACCCUAGGAGUUUUAAAAAUAUAAAUGUAGUUAUUUAGCUUUUUUGUUGGGGCAACAAGGAGACAUAAAACUCUUCUGACUUGUGUUUACAAGCCAAAAUUAUUGAGAACGAUUAAGCUACCCUAGGGAUAACAGCAUAAUUUUUUAAAAGUUUGUGACCUCGAUGUUGGACUAGGAACUAAAUGACUAGCCGUCAAAAUAGUUUGUUCUGUUCGAACAAUUUUUCCU
This 441-nucleotide ribosomal RNA is filed under the name Microhedyle sp. ZSM DNA AB35081767. Its description in RNAcentral is "partial 16S ribosomal RNA". It matches the Rfam family "Bacterial large subunit ribosomal RNA", at positions 1832 to 2597 of the family's 2925-position model. The record is from RNAcentral. Lineage: Eukaryota; Metazoa; Mollusca; Gastropoda; Acochlidiacea; Microhedylidae.